GUUUUCUGAUAUAGGAGCAUCAAUAUCUGGAUCAUUCAUAUGAUUAAGUAACCAAUCCAUUGCUGCCUCUACUCCACUGUUGGAAGUAUUGAUAGCAGCCUUCUGACAAUGAAGUAGAUUAAAUCCCAUUGAAACAAGUUGUGCAACAAUAUCAUCGUCAGCCAGAAGCUUUAUUGACUGCUCACCAUCCCCUGCAGCACUGUCAGGCAACAGCUCUUCUCCUGGUUGAAUACCAUUACUUCGCAUGCUACUUAUGUCAAUGGUUUCAGGGACAUCUAUGUAGACAUCGAGCUUCUUUGGCACCCAACCUUCCUCCAUAACAAAUUUCCGCAUGUGCAAAACCAGAUAAUCUGGAAAAGAAGUCAAACCUGCAGUUUUGAUUGC
Molecule: unclassified non-coding RNA, 384 nt
Filed under: Hevea brasiliensis (rubber tree)
Lineage: Eukaryota; Viridiplantae; Streptophyta; Magnoliopsida; Malpighiales; Euphorbiaceae
Source: RNAcentral